RNAcentral lists this transfer RNA (65 nucleotides) under Pseudosymplanella nigrifasciata. RNAcentral describes it as "tRNA-Pro". The record is from RNAcentral. Lineage: Eukaryota; Metazoa; Arthropoda; Insecta; Hemiptera; Caliscelidae.
CAGUAAAUAUUUUAUAAAUAAAAUUUUAGUUUUGGAGACUAAGGAAGAAUAAUUUUCUUUACUGA